GUGGUUUGGGAGAGAAUCUGGACCCCUCCUUCCUGUAUUCCUCUGUUUAAAUUAAAAUGUUGAAAAUUCAGUUUUAAAACCAAGCUAAUCUUGAUCUUCUAUAUAAGCGUUUCCUCUUGAGCUUUUUGGUAGCAUGAAAACUGACCUUGAUGUCCUUGGAUAAAAUCUAUGUUCCUUGCAGUAUUGAACAUGAUGAUCCUUGCCCUGCAGGCUUCUCCUCUUCACACUAGCAGUGUCUGCGUGCCAUCAGCAUUGAAAUAAUGGCAAGUCAUCUGGAAGCCCUCUGGAAUCACUUUAUCUUAAAAGGUCGUAUUUAAGAGUAAAAAAAAUUAAACUGAAUAAUCCAUUUGUAACUUCAUCUGGAAAGGGUUGGAAUCCGAUAGAGAACAGACUUGUAAAGAUAUUUGUGCACUUCUCAUUUUCAGCAGUGAUUAGUGUGCCAUGUUUGUAUCACUUUUACAGCCAACUGAUGCCUAAAAUCAAACUUAAGCCAUAGCAACAGCAGAGCAAACAUCAAGGUAGGGCUGAUCUCUGAGCACGCCGAUGGCUGGGAGAGGAGCCGGCGCUUCCCUUGAAGUUCCAACAUCAAAGAUGACGAAUAACUCCCUUCUCAGUGUUCCAGCUUCUCACAUCAUCUGAGUAUCCUUUGGCAGCAACAGUUGGCCCAAGCCUUGGAGCAGCAGCUGGUAUAUUUUCCAGGAGUGAAUAUGAAGAAAAAGUAAAUGCAGCCACGCAUUUCCUUUUAAGAAGCACAGUAGGCACUGUGCCCAAAACCCUUCCUGGGCUAGGUUGUGGGAUACAGCAAAUAUCUUGCAUCUCUUGUACUUAGAGAGGAUUUCUAAAACUGAAGGUGAAAAUCCUGAAUCAGUAGGAGCCUGGAUGGCAGGUCAGUGUCUCCCAGGGGUCAGGAUCCUCCCACAGUGUCUGGCUUUGCAGCGUCCCUCAUAGCUCCCAUCUGCCCCACACACAGGGACCAUGGCUUGCCCCCCCUCCACUGUGGAUUUUUAUGUUUUUCCAGAUGUUUCCACUGGAGUCUUUUGCAAAACAUUUUAUUGUCAACCAGAAAUAAAAAAUUAAUAACAACCAGAA
Molecule: long non-coding RNA, 1089 nt
Organism: Corvus hawaiiensis (hawaiian crow)
Lineage: Eukaryota; Metazoa; Chordata; Aves; Passeriformes; Corvidae
Exons: 2
Source: RefSeq, a predicted model, not a curated record